GACGAACGCUGGCGGCGUGCUUAACACAUGCAAGUCGAACGGACAGGCCCUGCUUUUGUGGGGCGCUCGAUUGGCGAACGGGUGUGUAACACGCGUGUAUCCUCCCCCUGUCUUAGGGAUAAAUUCUGGAAACUGGGGCUAAUACCGGAUAGGAGCUCCUGCAGCAUGGUGGGGGUUGGAAAGUUUCGGCGGUUGGGGCUGGUCUAGCGGCUUAUCAGCUUGUUGGGGGGGUAGUGGCUUACCAAGUCUUCGAAGGGUAGCCGGCCUGGGAGGCGGGACAGCCACCAUGGGACUGAGAGACGGCCCAGACUCGUACGUGAGGCAGCAGGGGGGAAUAUGGCACAACGGGCGGAAGCCUGAUGCAGCGACGUCGGGUGCGGGAUGACGUCUUUCGGGGUAUAAACAGCUGUCUCAUUUGAUGAAGCGGGAUUGACGGUAAUUGGUAAAGAAGCACCGGCUAACUACGUG
Molecule: ribosomal RNA, 468 nt
Filed under: uncultured bacterium
Lineage: Bacteria
Description: partial 16S ribosomal RNA
Rfam family: Bacterial small subunit ribosomal RNA
Source: RNAcentral